AAGUCGAGCGAGAAAGGGGGGGCAACUCCCGGAGUACAGCGGCGCACGGGUGAGUAACACGUGGGUAAUCUGCCCUGAAGUGGGGAAUAACACCGGGAAACCGGUGCUAAUACCGCAUACGAUCCGCAAGGAUGAAAGGAGCAAUUCGCUUUAGGAGGAGCCCGCGGCUGAUUAGCUAGUUGGUGAGGUAAUGGCCCACCAAGGCUUCGAUCAGUAUCCGGUCUGAGAGGACGGUCGGACACACUGGAACUGAGACACGGUCCAGACUCCUACGGGAGGCAGCAGUGGGGAAUUUUUCGCAAUGGGGGCAACCCUGACGAAGCAACGCCGCGUGGGUGAUGAAGUCUCUUGGGACGUAAAACCCUUUCGACGGGGAAGAAACCGCAAGGUUGACGGUACCCGUAGAAGAAGCCCCGGCUAACUCCGUGCCAGCAGCCGCGGUAAUACGGGGGGGGCAAGCGUUGUUCGGAAUUACUGGGCGUAAAGGGUGCGUAGGCGGUCCGCUAAGUUGGAUGUGAAAACUCUGGGC
RNAcentral lists this ribosomal RNA (529 nucleotides) under uncultured bacterium. RNAcentral describes it as "bacterial SSU rRNA". It matches the Rfam family "Bacterial small subunit ribosomal RNA", at positions 59 to 608 of the family's 1533-position model. The record is from RNAcentral.